AUUGAACGCUGGCGGCAGGCCUAACACAUGCAAGUCGAGCGGAUGAAGGGAGCUUGCUCCUGGAUUCAGCGGCGGACGGGUGAGUAAUGCCUAGGAAUCUGCCUGGUAGUGGGGGAUAACGUCCGGAAACGGGCGCUAAUACCGCAUACGUCCUGAGGGAGAAAGUGGGGGAUCUUCGGACCUCACGCUCUCAGAUGAGCCUAGGUCGGAUUAGCUAGUUGGUGGGGUAAAGGCCUACCAAGGCGACGAUCCGUAACUGGUCUGAGAGGAUGAUCAGUAACACUGGAACUGAGACACGGUCCAGACUCCUACGGGAGGCAGCAGUGGGGAAUAUUGGACAAUGGGCGAAAGCCUGAUCCAGCCAUGCCGCGUGUGUGAAGAAGGUCUUCGGAUUGUAAAGCACUUUUAGUUGGGAGGAAAAGCAGUAAGUUAAUACCUUGCUGUUUUGACGUUACCAACAGAAUAAGCACCGGCUAACUUCGUG
Molecule: ribosomal RNA, 484 nt
Filed under: uncultured bacterium
Lineage: Bacteria
Description: partial 16S ribosomal RNA
Rfam family: Bacterial small subunit ribosomal RNA
Source: RNAcentral